Culex pipiens pallens (northern house mosquito) is the source of this 1090-nucleotide long non-coding RNA. RefSeq lists it as uncharacterized. The record is from RefSeq and is a predicted model, not a curated record. Lineage: Eukaryota; Metazoa; Arthropoda; Insecta; Diptera; Culicidae. The transcript has 2 exons.
CACUAAAAAAAUAUGAAAAUUACACUAGACGUAAUUGAAAUAUUGACAGAAAAUCAAAGAACGUAUCAUAAAAAUUUACUGAAUUUUACAUCUUACCAGACGUAAUCACCAAACAAAAUUGCAAAAAUCAAAUCCGUGAUCAUAUGGUCGAAGUUACUGAAUAUUAACAUUCAAUAAAUGUAAUUUUAAGUCUCGUAUGAUGCACAUAACUGGAGCAUAUGAUUUGUCUGAAUAUUCAAUCACGUUACUUAAUUUUACAUCAGUUCGUAUAGAAUUUCACCCAUUUUGGCUGCUCCGCAUCGCUGCGUGUACGACUGUCAAAGUCAGCCAUCUUACACUGUGCGAUCACAACAGUCGAGUGGAAGUUUUAUUUUGCUGCUAAGGUGGAACUCUUCGCAAUCUUUUGGCAGUUUUGUGUUCCUUAGAACCGUGCAAAUUUGUUAGAUUUUGAUGUCCGGUUCCUGAAGGCCAUUUGCCAGUUCCGGUGCUCAAGCAGAAUCCGGAGUCUGUUCGCUAGUUUCAAGAAUGCUGCAGUACAUUGCGGAAAUCCUUAGAAAGCUUGGUCCGGAAUUGUUUUCCGAAACUUCGCUACAAGCAUCGACAAGCCUACUUCCUCAAGUGGCUGUCCAUUCAAGCACGCCAGGGAAAAUGACUCCGACGAAGAUGUUUCGGUGGCCGCAUCUGGAACAAAAACGGCACGGAUUCAAGUGUGUGCGACUCGUAGUGUGGUGAAUUGAAAAGUUUUCCAAGAAGAAAAGUGAGUGCUAUCGGAAUCCGCCGAAAUAUUGAGUUCCGGACCAAAAUAUUGAAAAAUGUGCGCCGUUGAUUUCGGACUCCCGAUAGAACCGAACCAGCACACUCACACAACGGCUGUUCGUGCCCAAGGUGGAACCUGUUCUAGGCGAUAACUCGAAGUCGAAUGAUGUCGAAAAAUAAUGUGGUAUAGGGUAACAGCAUCUAAUUCCAGCGUGCCUCUAAUGUUGGCAGGUCAGAACUUUGACAUUAAAUUAAAGCUAAUUAAAAGCGUUUUCAACUGAACUCGAGUGAUAAAUAGCUCAAUGAGAAGUGAGCAAGCAAGUUUCUAUCAAAA